GUCACUAAAGGGUAUGCAAAGUAUGUUAAAUAAGGUGUAAGGUUAAGAUCUUGACCGCUGAUGAAUAUAUAUGAAUCUUUAUCAAAACCUAGUCUACCUUGUCUUUGUUUUAGUACUCCACCCGCUCCAUUCCAAUCUUUUUUCUCUAACUACCGAACAUACAUAUUCCGUUCGGCUGAAGCAAUUCUAAGACUCUUUAAUGCUCCUUGGUUCGGCUAAAAGAAAUUGGAGGCUUCAAGGAACUGAAUUUGCAGCUGGAGUAAAGUCUAGAAUUGGCAUUGAAGAAGCUACACUCAUGUAUUAUUAAACUCAAAAUCUGCAGCAAAUAGAAGGUAAGUAUGAGUUUCAUAAGAAUUUAUAACAAUUGGUUAGUUUAUAUGCGGUACAACAUGAAUUGUGGCAGUGAUAUCUAUGAAUUAGCAAAAAGGAGACCAGUUAUUGUUGUGCGGAGUAAUAAGGAAGGAGAUUAUGGCUUAAAGCAUAUAUAAAUGCUAAAGAAAUCUGUAUAAAAUUAAUGCUCAUUGCGUGUUUGAUUUUUUGUCUCUAAGAGCUGUUUGGUUUAAAAAGAGAGAAUUGAACAAGGCUGUAUUAAAGAAAGCUAUGUAUAUGUAUAUUGAAGUAAUUUAAAUAGAUUGGGCAAGAUAAUUAGAAUCUAAAACCUGUUUUGAAGAAAUUGGUUAAUUCUAGCUCAGUUGAAAAAACUGAUUGAUGGGCCAGUUUUAAGGCCAUGUAAAACGAGUCUAGG
This 745-nucleotide long non-coding RNA is filed under the name Panax ginseng (ginseng). RNAcentral describes it as "long non-coding RNA (PGIN_LNC004960)". Lineage: Eukaryota; Viridiplantae; Streptophyta; Magnoliopsida; Apiales; Araliaceae. The record is from RNAcentral.